CACCACCCCCCUCCCUCCAUCUCCUCCUCCUUCUCUCCUCAGUACCGACAGACCGACAAAUCCCUCCCGGUGCUCCUGUCUCCCCCCCCCCCUCCUCCCCUCUUCUCUUUCUCUCUCUCUACGUCUCCUUCCCCGCCAGCCAUGAUCCGUGGCGGGCUAAUUCCCAGACGGUCUUCUUCUUCUUCUUCCUCCUCUUCUCCUCAUCACCCUCUUCCUCCCCCUCCUUCUCCUCCUCCUCCUCCUCCUCGCGGGCUCGAGCGAAACGCGUCGACCAAUCACGUCUAGCAGCUCGCCAGCCUCCUAUGUGAGCGUGUGUGUGUGUCUGUCUGUGUAAGUGUGUGUGUGAGGUCAUGUCAGGCAUGACCAGUGGCGUGUGUGUGGAGAGCGACCUCUCCUCGAUGCUCCAGAGAAGCUCCGCCUCCUCCCACCAUCACCCAAAUCACCAUGGUUACAGCGGACAGGGACAGGUGACGGGUCUCGCUCCGAUGUUGGACUACACCUCAGAGAUGGAUCGUUAUCGUUCGUCCAUCGCCAGUUUUUAUAAGACGAACGUCAACAUGAACAUGAACGUCACAAACUUUCCUCAGUCUGCCAAACUGGCGGCCCGUUUGGCAGCUGCCGCCCCCAUCUUUCCUCCCUCAGCCGCCAGGCUGGGCGCCAUGGCGACCGGGCCCUGGGCCUGCCACGAAAACAUGAACAUGAACAUGAACCACCCGGCAGCCAUGUUCUGGGGCCGACCCAAACCCGUAGCGACGGCGCCUACGCAUCACCACCACCACCACCAUCACCCGACGGCAACAACGGGUCACAUGACCUCCUCCCACCCCCACAGUACCAGCAUGCACCAGGGCGGCGGGGGGUCAGGAGGGGGAGGAGGUGGAGGGGGCAGCGAGGGGGGAAGAGCUGAGAAACACGGACACACUGCCCCCUCACUUCCUGUCACACAGGGAACAUCACAUCAUCAUGCCAUGGCGCAUAGCAACGGGAACUUCCUGCCGGGUUACGGAAGCGGCGCGGACUGUGGCGUUAUGAACAAACAGGGACACGCCCACCCAGACAUGAUGGGCCUAUCAGACGGUGGGAACUGCAAUGGGGGAGGGGUGAUGGGGGGUAGCUUUCUAGGGGGACUUGGAUUACCUCCAGGGGUCAUUGUCAUGGCAAUGGGGUCAGCAGGGGGCGGGAUAACGGACGCCGGCAGCGCCUUCCAGAUGACAAGCGGCCAGCGGGCGCUAACGGACUGCCAGCAGCACGCAAACUCCUCCCCCUGCCCGUCCUCCUCCUCACCGUCAUCGUCAGGGGUGACGGCAGGAGGCGUGGCCUUGUCAUCGUCGUCCUCCUCGUCGUCGGGUGCGGUGGCGAAAAGGAAGAGGAAGCGGUGUGGCGUGUGCGGGCCGUGCAGGCGACUCAUCAACUGCGGCGUCUGCUCGUCCUGCCGCAACAGGAAGACGGGUCACCAGAUCUGCAAGUUCAGGAAGUGUGAAGAGCUGAAGAAGAAACCAGGGGGAGGAGGGGGGGUGCUGGAGCGGCCGCCCUCCGUCCCGACUGGCGAGGCGUUUCGUUGGUUCUUCUAACCCUCCCUCUGCGAGCCGAGGGCGGAGGGAGCUAGAGGUCAGGAAGCUUCUGUCACAAACUGGACUUGAAUAAACUCAGAACAAGAACUACAAGUCCUGGAACUUAAACCAGACGCUUAGCAACGGGAUUACAACUUUCAUACUGUGUGGACGACAAUUUCAGACUCCAAAUCAUCACCUCAGCUGGAACAGGGAACGCCGCUCGGAGGCGGAGGAAGAGCGGAUGGUUUGAUCACAGGAUACAAGAACCCGGCCAAUCAGAAUUAAGUGUCAUGAUGCCACGACUGCACAUUUUCCUGAACCUUUGGCAGCAAACCACAAACCCCAUCGUAGCCAAACAAGGAAGAUUCAGGACUCUCGUGGACCCCCUGCUGUCACCACAAAAAACGUUCACACUUUGACCAAAACCGCACGGCAAGUUAACCUCAAAGGACAGAAACUAAAACCAGAGGGCGUACGAACUGACCUCAGCAAGAAGUCAUCCAGGACUGUUACCAAGGACUACAACUUCACCAUCGUAGGACUACAAUUACCACAACACUGUUAUCUGUCUCUUCUGUCUACCUCCUCCUCAAGACCUCACAAGGCACCUUGACUGACUUUUUUGUGUAUUCAUGUUCGUACAUCUCGUUCUGCUUCUUGACUCUCUAGAUGGUCCCGAGCGGAUUUACGUCUGAAGGAAUCUGCUGUUUACAUUUUUUAUUGAUUUAUUCCUCUUGUUUACUUUUGAUUUAUUUAUUUAUCUUGUCUCGAUUUCAACGGAAAGUUCUCAGGGCGCUGUCACACUUCCACUCGAUUUUUUACGGAACUAAAGCAGACCGGAAAAACUCACUUUGUUGUAUUUCUGUGUUUCUAAAUUCUGUCCUUGAAAUGACCUUUGAACCCCGACUUUGGUGGACUUACCAAUCGUUUUACCAAAUGAGCCAACGGGGAACCAGACGAGUGUCUUCAAAAGGAAUAUUGUGUGAUUUGGGUGGAGUAUUACGUGUACUUCCACUUCCAGACCUAAAUAGUCUUCAUUGGUCAAACCCUCAACCCGGACCACAGAGAGAGUUCAGAACCAGUUUAUCUGUUCAUCGUUACA
Molecule: RNA transcript, 2655 nt
Organism: Labrus mixtus (cuckoo wrasse)
Lineage: Eukaryota; Metazoa; Chordata; Actinopteri; Labriformes; Labridae
Gene name: transcription factor Sp8-like
Exons: 5
Source: RefSeq, a predicted model, not a curated record